UAAUAAUAGUUUAGGAUACCUAACCAGCCUUAGAAGCGGAUUACGCGACGUGUGAGCACGCGGGUAGUCUAUGUGUCAUAGAGUAUAGAGUUCCAUAGCGUUGUCUAACGUUAUGUGUAUUUGCAGGGUCGUGUCAUAAUUGGAGACUUUAAUUGGUUCUCCAAUGUAGAGUUCGAGUCGUGAGUCCAAUGCUGCCAGAUGAUGUUCCUUUGGCUGCAGGUUUUCCGAUCAUAGUUGAUAGCAUUGCAAAAGGGUACUUGGGAUGUUAUGACUGAAGCACGCCGCAACGGUCGUAGUUGGUGGACUACGGGUUGUCCACUUGUUUAUAGGUUUGGUUUAUGGCUUGUGACAUUUGUGUCACUUAUUCUUGUAAAGCCAUUUCCAUUAUGUAUUUAUAUUGAGGAAAGACUUAAACAGAUAGAUGUAAUAUGGCACUUUGUUUAUGAUUAUUUGUAAUAGAAGUUUAUGUUAUGAUUU
Alnus glutinosa is the source of this 477-nucleotide long non-coding RNA. RefSeq lists it as uncharacterized. The record is from RefSeq and is a predicted model, not a curated record. NCBI's taxonomy places the organism in Eukaryota, Viridiplantae, Streptophyta, Magnoliopsida, Fagales, Betulaceae. The transcript has 2 exons.